CCUGAAUCCUUCCCAGUGGCUUCUCAUACUCGGUCUCUGCAGACUCUGUUCUCCUCUGCCCCCUCCAAGAGAAAAUUGUUCAAAUCCACAUCCCUUUCUCCCUUCAGGACCUCUCAAAGACAGAAAAGCGGCUGGUUCCGUUUUGGCUGAUCCUUCUGUCUACAUCAAGGAGUUCCAUUAUCUUUCCCAAGCCUAUGACCUGACCUGGAGUAACCUCUACGUCAUCCAGGACUCUACUCUCACUUCAGAGGAGCAAGGUUGGGUUCAGGCAGCAGCUACAUGAUAUGCAGACCAAAGCCAUCUAGUGGACAAUGUGGUUCCUGUGGGUGAUGUGGCGGUGCCAGUUGUAGAGCCCUACUGGGACUAUCAGCCAGGUCAAAAUGGCCACCAGACAAGAGACCUCAUGGUCCACUGCCUCCUUCAGGGUAUGGUAUAGAAAUGGUCUUGAGUAAAGUUGUUAAUGUUUUUUCUUUAUUGAGAAUUUUUUUAUUCAUUUUACAUACCAACCACAGAUCCCCCUCUCAUCCCUCCUCCUGCUCCUCCCCAGCCUUCAACCCCAACCCAUCCCCCAUCCUCUCCUUAAAAAAGGUAAGGCCUCCUGUGGGAAGUCAGCAAAACCUGGUACUGUUGAGGCAGGUCUAAGCUCCUCUCCCCUGCAUCAAGGCUGUUCAAGGUGUCCCAUCAUAGGUCCCAAAAAGCCAGCUCAUGCAAAAAUUGUUAAUUUUUAUAAACUCCAUGAGAUUACACAUUGUGCUGACAAAAAUCCAGCUGUUUUCUAAAUUGAUUACAAGAGAACAUGGUUGAAUAUACCUGCUUUGACCCAGCAGGAGCCACAGUUUUUGGCCACCCAUUUCAUUUCUCAGCCAUUACAAGAUAUUAGAAAGAAAUUUUAAAAAGGCUAAGGAAGGUCAGCAAACUCCCAUACAGGAAUUGGUGAAAAUGGCUUUUAAGGUUUUUAACACUUAGGAGGAGGCAGCUGAGUUUGCUGACAGGCUUGGCUACAACAGAAGGCUAUGUUCCAGCUCAGGACUUGUCACCUGCCCUGAGGCCAUUGGCACUCCCACAUGGGAGACAAGGGAAGUACACAAGGCUCUAUCCCCCUGGACCCCAGCCAAGUCAACUCCACCAGUGACCUGCUUCAAAUGUGGCCAGGAAGGCCAUUGGUCCUGGUGCUGCUCUGAUCCUCACUGGUCAACAAGGCCAUGCCUCCAUCAGCAGGCUGGCCACUGCCCCCAUGUGGGCUUGUCCUCUGUGACAUGCCAUGAAAAUCCAACCUCACCAACACAUGCAUCUGAGACUCUUCCAGCCUUUGAGGUCCUCAGCCUGGCAGAGAACUGAAGCCACCCAAACCUGGAGAUUCCCAUCACCCUCACAGAGCCUAAGGUCCUUAAUCUCUGCCUUGUGGUUAUGGAUCAAGAUGUGAGCUCUCAGCCAUUCUUUUGCUCUGUCAUCAUGGACUCUAACCCUUUGGAAUCAUAAGCCAAAUUAAACAUGUUCUUGUGUAAGUUUA
This is a long non-coding RNA of Peromyscus eremicus (cactus mouse), 1510 nucleotides long. RefSeq lists it as uncharacterized. The transcript has 2 exons. Lineage: Eukaryota; Metazoa; Chordata; Mammalia; Rodentia; Cricetidae. The record is from RefSeq and is a predicted model, not a curated record.